AGGGAGAUAGCUAGGUUAUAUGGCAGUUUUUAAUUUUUUGAGGAAUGUUCAGACUAUUCUUCAUAAUGGCUGUACUAAUUUACAUUCCCACUAACAAU
This 98-nucleotide microRNA precursor is filed under the name Marmota monax (woodchuck). Lineage: Eukaryota; Metazoa; Chordata; Mammalia; Rodentia; Sciuridae. The record is from RNAcentral.